This is a non-coding RNA of Trichomalopsis sarcophagae, 46 nucleotides long. Lineage: Eukaryota; Metazoa; Arthropoda; Insecta; Hymenoptera; Pteromalidae. The record is from Rfam.
UAAUCAGUCCUUUUUAGGACUACAAAAUCAAUAACGUAAAAUGAAU